CAGCCGCCGCGGUAACACGUAGGGUGCGAGCGUUAAUCGGAAUUGCUGGGCGUAAAGCGUGCGCAGGCGGCUUUGCAAGACAGAUGUGAAAUCCCCGGGCUCAACCUGGGAACUGCAUUUGUGACUGCACAGCUAGAGUAUGGCAGAGGGGGGUGGAAUUUCACGUGUAGCAGUGAAAUGCGUAGUGAUGUGGAGGAACACCGAUGGCGAAGGCAGCCCCCUGGGCCAAUACUGACGCUCAUGCACGAAAGCGUGGGGAGCAAACAGGAUUAGAUACCCGAGUAGUCCCUGUCUCUUAUAC
This 301-nucleotide ribosomal RNA is filed under the name uncultured bacterium. RNAcentral describes it as "partial 16S ribosomal RNA". It matches the Rfam family "Bacterial small subunit ribosomal RNA", at positions 509 to 807 of the family's 1533-position model. The record is from RNAcentral.